This 687-nucleotide ribosomal RNA is filed under the name uncultured bacterium. RNAcentral describes it as "bacterial SSU rRNA". It matches the Rfam family "Bacterial small subunit ribosomal RNA", at positions 8 to 689 of the family's 1533-position model. The record is from RNAcentral.
AGAGUUUGAUCCUGGCUCAGAGUGAACGCUAGCGGCGUGGUUAAGACAUGCAAGUCGAACGAUGAAGCCCAGCUUGCUGGGACGAUUAGUGGCAUACGGGUGCGUAACACGUGAGCAACCUGCCUUGAAGUGGGGGAUAGCCCGGGGAAACCCGGAUUAAUACCGCAUGUGGUCCUUUUCUCCCUGGAAAAGUGACUAAAGUUUGUAAUGACGCUUCAAGAGGGGCUCGCGGCCUAUCAGCUUGUUGGUGAGGUAACGGCUCACCAAGGCUAAGACGGGUAGCUGGUCUGAGAGGAUGAUCAGCCACACUGGAACUGAGAUACGGUCCAGACACCUACGGGUGGCAGCAGUUUCGAAUCAUUCACAAUGGGGGAAACCCUGAUGGUGCAACGCCGCGUGGAGGAUGACGGCCUUCGGGUUGUAAACUCCUGUCACCAAGGAACAAACGGCAGGUUCAUAGCCUGUCCUGAGUUAACUUGGAGAGGAAGAGGUGGCUAACUCCGUGCCAGCAGCCGCGGUAAUACGGAGACCUCGAGCGUUACUCGGAUUCACUGGGCGUAAAGAGUAUGUAGGCGGUUUGGUAUGUCAGGUGUGAAAUCCCGGAGCUCAACUCCGGAACUGCGCCUGAAACUACCAAACUCGAGGCCUGGAGAGGAGAGUGGAAUUCCUGGUGUAGCGGUGAAAUGC